Sus scrofa (pig) is the source of this 74-nucleotide non-coding RNA. The record is from Rfam. NCBI's taxonomy places the organism in Eukaryota, Metazoa, Chordata, Mammalia, Artiodactyla, Suidae.
UCCCUGGUGGUCUAGCAGGUUAAGGAUCCAGCAUUGCCACUGCUGUGGCUCAGGUUCAAUCCCUGGCCCAGGAA